CUACAGGCUUAACACAUGCAAGUCGAGGGGCAGCAUGAACUUAGCUUGCUAAGUUUGAUGGCGACCGGCGCACGGGUGAGUAACACGUAUCCAACCUGCCGAUGACUCGGGGAUAGCCUUUCGAAAGAAAGAUUAAUACCCGAUGGCAUAGUUCUUCCGCAUGGUAGAACUAUUAAAGAAUUUCGGUCAUCGAUGGGGAUGCGUUCCAUUAGGUUGUUGGCGGGGUAACGGCCCACCAAGCCUUCGAUGGAUAGGGGUUCUGAGAGGAAGGUCCCCCACAUUGGAACUGAGACACGGUCCAAACUCCUACGGGAGGCAGCAGUGAGGAAUAUUGGUCAAUGGACGAGAGUCUGAACCAGCCAAGUAGCGUGAAGGAUGACCGCCCUAUGGGUUGUAAACUUCUUUUAUACGGGAAUAAAGUGAGGCACGUGUGCCUUUUUGUAUGUACCGUAUGAAUAAGGAUCGGCUAACUCCGUGCCAGCAGCCGCGGUAAUACGGAGGAUCCGAGCGUUAUCCGGAUUUAUUGGGUUUAAAGGGAGCGUAGGCGGACGCUUAAGUCAGUUGUGAAAGUUUGCGGCUCAACCGUAAAAUUGCAGUUGAUACUGGGUGUCUUGAGUACAGUAGAGGCAGGCGGAAUUCGUGGUGUAGCGGUGAAAUGCUUAGAUAUCACGAAGAACUCCGAUUGCGAAGGCAGCCUGCUGGACUGUAACUGACGCUGAUGCUCGAAAGUGUGGGUAUCAAACAGGAUUAGAUACCCUGGUAGUCCACACAGUAAACGAUGAAUACUCGCUGUUUGCGAUAUACAGUAAGCGGCCAAGCGAAAGCGUUAAGUAUUCCACCUGGGGAGUACGCCGGCAACGGUGAAACUCAAAGGAAUUGACGGGGGCCCGCACAAGCGGAGGAACAUGUGGUUUAAUUCGAUGAUACGCGAGGAACCUUACCCGGGCUUGAAUUGCAACUGAAUGAUGUGGAGACAUGUCAGCCGCAAGGCAGUUGUGAAGGUGCUGCAUGGUUGUCGUCAGCUCGUGCCGUGAGGUGUCGGCUUAAGUGCCAUAACGAGCGCAACCCUUAUCUUUAGUUACUAACAGGUCAUGCUGAGGACUCUAGAGAGACUGCCGUCGUAAGAUGUGAGGAAGGUGGGGAUGACGUCAAAUCAGCACGGCCCUUACGUCCGGGGCUACACACGUGUUACAAUGGGGGGUACAGAAGGCAGCUACCUGGUGACAGGAUGCUAAUCCCAAAAGCCUCUCUCAGUUCGGAUCGAAGUCUGCAACCCGACUUCGUGAAGCUGGAUUCGCUAGUAAUCGCGCAUCAGCCAUGGCGCGGUGAAUACGUUCCCGGGCCUUGUACACACCGCCCGUCAAGCCAUGAAAGCCGGGGGUACCUGAAGUACGUAACCGCAAGGAGCGUCCUAGGGUAAAACUGGUAAUUGGGGCUAAG
Molecule: ribosomal RNA, 1440 nt
Filed under: uncultured organism
Description: SSU rRNA
Rfam family: Bacterial small subunit ribosomal RNA
Source: RNAcentral